AAAAAAAAGAGUGAUGAAACACGAGGACUUUCCUAGAGGUCACCCAUCCUAGUACUACUCUCGCCCAAGCACGCGUAACUGCGAAGUUCUGAUGGGAUCUGGUGCAUUAGUGCUGGUAUGAUCGCAUCUGUUACUACAUGCAAUGCAAUCGUAUCUAUUCUUUUUUGAAGAUUUUAUGAUCCAUUUGCAGUGGGUCCCACCAGCUAUGUAGGAAUACCCUAUCUUGUUUAUAAGAGCUUUGAUACAUGCAAAAUCUUCGAAAACAAUGUCCGAACAUAUAAUUUUCGCCCCGUAAUAUAGCAAAGAUCACGAAAAUGCCAAAAUAGUACAUUAAGGUCAAAAUUUGGAGUAGGAAAAAAAACCCUUCAUCAUUCAUUGGAGAGCUCUCUCUGGGCUUUCCGAAAAGGUAUCACAUGCCAAGUUUGGCCUCACGGUCUAAAAGUUAUAAAGUCAUACAUUUUUAACAAAAAAAAAAGAGAAAAACCGAAAAAAAGAGU
This 497-nucleotide small RNA is filed under the name Arabidopsis thaliana (thale cress). RNAcentral's name for it is "ATSL163900". The record is from RNAcentral. Lineage: Eukaryota; Viridiplantae; Streptophyta; Magnoliopsida; Brassicales; Brassicaceae.